This is a long non-coding RNA of Heterocephalus glaber (naked mole-rat), 411 nucleotides long. NCBI's taxonomy places the organism in Eukaryota, Metazoa, Chordata, Mammalia, Rodentia, Bathyergidae. The record is from Ensembl.
GUUCAAAGGUUCAAAGAAUUGUACUCUGUCCUCAGCUCUCCUACACUGCUCUCCAGUUUCCAACCACCUGGGUCCUAUUUUUUACUGCCACACUUUUAGGAAGACUCAUCUGUAGACAAAGCCUACAUUUCUUUACUGUUCCCUCAUCUGCAGAUUUUUGGGUCCCAUUACACAGGGGGACAAAGGAAACCUACCUGUGCCUAUUAAUGGGAAGAGAGUGAAUCUCAAAAUGAAAAAAUCAUCUGUGACUUCAAAGAGAAAGAGCUGACAGCAAGAUAUUUGAAUUAAUUAAAGAAAUACAAUGCUGUUCGUUGAUUGUACAGCCUCUGGGAGUCUCUACACGCUGGCUCCUCUAAAAGAUGUGUCUCAAGAUUCAGACGGUAAGUAACUGAAAAUAUGUAGAAACCUAAG